Molecule: ribosomal RNA, 227 nt
Filed under: uncultured bacterium
Lineage: Bacteria
Description: partial 16S ribosomal RNA
Rfam family: Bacterial small subunit ribosomal RNA
Source: RNAcentral
GAUCAUGGCUCAGGAUGAACGCUAGCUACAGGCUUAACACAUGCAAGUCGAGGGGCAGCAUGGUCUUAGCUUGCUAAGGCCGAUGGCGACCGGCGCACGGGUGAGUAACACGUAUCCAACCUGCCGUCUACUCUUGGACAGCCUUCUGAAAGGAAGAUUAAUACAAAGAUGGCAUCAUGAGUCCGCAUGUUCACAUGAUUAAAGGUAUUCCCGGUAGACGAUGGGGG